GCCUGAGAUUGGUUUUGGACCGUCGGAUCAUGCAAAAGAGUUCUAUUCAAAGUCGGCAACGAGUCUGGACCGUCGGAUCUGAUGAUGGAUGCAUUUUCGACCAUUAGAUCACGCAAAACUUUCCCUUAUAAAUAGAUGGCAAACAGCGGCCGUUCGAUCUCCCUUAGUUUGAAUCCUGACCAUCCGUUCAUGAAAAAUACCUUCUGCCUGCUAUGAGCCGCACUUGUGAACCACAUGAAAUUUUUGAUGGACCGCGCCCUGAUUUCGUGGACCGGCCGACCGGUCCACCGUGCACC
Molecule: long non-coding RNA, 296 nt
Filed under: Elaeis guineensis (African oil palm)
Lineage: Eukaryota; Viridiplantae; Streptophyta; Magnoliopsida; Arecales; Arecaceae
Description: long non-coding RNA (EGUI_LNC068124)
Source: RNAcentral